Non-coding RNA from Prunus avium (sweet cherry), 119 nucleotides. Lineage: Eukaryota; Viridiplantae; Streptophyta; Magnoliopsida; Rosales; Rosaceae. The record is from RefSeq and is a predicted model, not a curated record.
CAGAGCCGCAUGUUUCAUACUGUUUAUUACACUAAUGAAAAUAUACUAGUUUGUGCUCCAACAGGAGCUGGCAAAACAAAAAUAGCUAUGAUUUCUAUUCUACAUGAGAUUGGACAGCG